This 362-nucleotide transfer-messenger RNA is filed under the name Deltaproteobacteria bacterium. It matches the Rfam family "transfer-messenger RNA". From Rfam's summary of the family: Bacterial tmRNA, also known as 10Sa RNA or SsrA, is named for its dual tRNA and mRNA-like properties. Its role is to liberate the mRNA from a stalled ribosome. To accomplish this part of the tmRNA is used as a reading frame that ends in a translation stop signal. RNAcentral also lists the same sequence under 1 other name. The record is from RNAcentral. Lineage: Bacteria; Pseudomonadati; Myxococcota; Myxococcia.
GGGGGCGACUGGUUUCGACGGGAUCCGGUUAGGUGUUGGUAAGCAUGUCCAGGUCCCCGCUGGCCUGGUAAAAAAGCGGGAAAAAAUUAAAUGCAAACGAAAAUGACUAUGCGUAUGCAUUGGCUGCCUAAUUAACGGCGGUCGAGUCUUCGGCGGAUGCGCCCGUAGUUUUCCGAAGGCUUAAAGUCAGCGGGCUGGCGCGUCUUUUUAGCUUUGGGAGGACGCGUAAGAAAUACAAAGCUGGUUCAGCAAGAUCCCGGACCUUGGAGCUUGCUGGAUAAGAUACAAAUAUGGCUCUAAACAUGUAGAAAGCCAGCGCUGAAGUUUCUCGGACGGGGGUUCGAUUCCCCCCGCCUCCACAC